This 250-nucleotide ribosomal RNA is filed under the name uncultured bacterium. Its description in RNAcentral is "partial 16S ribosomal RNA". It matches the Rfam family "Bacterial small subunit ribosomal RNA", at positions 524 to 773 of the family's 1533-position model. The record is from RNAcentral.
UACGGGGGGAACGAGCGUUGUUCGGAUUUACUGGGCGUAAAGGGCACGUAGGCGGGAAAGCAAGUCAGAUGUGAAACCCCAAAGCUUAACUCUGGGACUGCAUUUGAUACUGCUUUUCUUGAGUACAAGAGAGGAUGGCGGAAUUCUUGGUGUAGCGGUGAAAUGCGUAGAUAUCAAGAAGAACACCGGUAGCGAAGGCAGCCCCCUGGGCCAGCACUGACGCUCAGGCACGAAAGCGUGGGGAGCAAAC